This 329-nucleotide unclassified non-coding RNA is filed under the name soil metagenome. RNAcentral's name for it is "partial contains 5.8S ribosomal RNA, internal transcribed spacer 2, and large subunit ribosomal RNA". The stretch from base 1 to 120 matches the Rfam family "5.8S ribosomal RNA", at positions 35 to 154 of the family's 154-position model. The record is from RNAcentral.
GAUGAAGAACGUAGCGAAAUGCGAUAAGUAAUGUGAAUUGCAGAAUUCAGUGAAUCAUCGAAUCUCUGAACGCACAUUGCGCCCCUUGGUAUUCCGAGGGGCAUGCCUGUUCGAGCGUCAUUAUAACCCCUCAAGCUCAGCUUGGUGUUGGGGCCUGCUGCACUGGCAGCCCUUAAAAUCAGUGGCGGCGCCAUCUGGCUCUAAGCGUAGUAAUUCUUCUCGCUAUGGAGUCCUGGUGGAUGCUUGCCAUCAACCCCCAAUUUUUCUAUGGUUGACCUCGGAUCAGGUAGGGAUACCCGCUGAACUUAAGCAUAUCAAUAAGCGGAGGA